UACAGAGGGUGCGAGCGUUAAUCGGAAUUAUUGGGCGUAAAGGGCGCGUAGGCGGAUGUGCAAGUGGUAGGUGAAAUACCCGGGCUUAACCUGGGGAGGUCCUAUCAGACUGCACGUCUAGAAUGUGGCAGAGGAAGGUGGAAUUCUCGGUGUAGCGGUGAAAUGCGUAGAUAUCGAGAGGAACACCUGCGGCGAAGGCGGGUUGCUGGGCCGACACUGACGCUGACAGCGCGAAAGCUAGGGGAGCGAACGGG
This 254-nucleotide ribosomal RNA is filed under the name uncultured bacterium. RNAcentral's name for it is "partial 16S ribosomal RNA". It matches the Rfam family "Bacterial small subunit ribosomal RNA", at positions 524 to 776 of the family's 1533-position model. The record is from RNAcentral.